AACAUUGCGCAAUGGAGGGAACGCUGACGCAGCGACGCCGCGUGAGCGAUGACGGUUUUCGGAUCGUAAAGCUCUGUUCUUGGGGAAGAAGGUCUUCGGACUCGACGGCACCCAAGGAGGAAGCCCCGGCUAACUACGUGCUCGCAGCCGCGGUAAUACGUAGGGGGCAAGCGUUGUCCGGAAUUAUUGGGCGUAAAGGGUGCGUAGGCGGCCUUUUAAGUCAGGUGUGAAAGCCCGCGGCUUAACCGUGGGAUUGCAUUUGAAACUGGAAGGCUUGAGUAUCGGAGAGGGUAGUGGAAUUCCCAGUGUAGCGGUGAAAUGCAUAGAUAUUACACAGAACGCCGAUAGCGUAGGCAGGUUGCUAAGUCUUUACUGACGCUGAUGGACGAAAGCGUGGGGAGCAAAC
Molecule: ribosomal RNA, 406 nt
Filed under: uncultured bacterium
Lineage: Bacteria
Description: partial 16S ribosomal RNA
Rfam family: Bacterial small subunit ribosomal RNA
Source: RNAcentral